GUCUAUGGCCAUCUCACCCCAAACAAGCCCGAUCCCGUCUGAUCUUAGAAGCUAAGCAGGGUUGGGCUUGGUUUGUACUUGGAUGGGAGACCACCUAGGAAGACCAGGUACUGUAGGCU
Molecule: ribosomal RNA, 119 nt
Filed under: Pteropus alecto (black flying fox)
Lineage: Eukaryota; Metazoa; Chordata; Mammalia; Chiroptera; Pteropodidae
Source: RNAcentral